AGUGAACGCUGGCGGUAGGCCUAACACAUGCAAGUCGAACGGCAGCACAGUAAGAGCUUGCUCUUACGGGUGGUGAGUGGCAGACGGGUGAGGAAUACAUCGGAAUCUACUUUUUCGUGGGGGAUAACGUAGGGAAACUUACGCUAAUACCGCAUACGACCUACGGGUGAAAGCAGGGGAUCUUCGGACCUUGCGCGAUUGAAUGAGCCGAUGUCGGAUUAGCUAGUUGGCGGGGUAAAGGCCCACCAAGGCGACGAUCCGUAGCUGGUCUGAGAGGAUGAUCAGCCACACUGGAACUGAGACACGGUCCAGACUCCUACGGGAGGCAGCAGUGGGGAAUAUUGGACAAUGGGCGCAAGCCUGAUCCAGCCAUACCGCGUGGGUGAAGAAGGCCUUCGGGUUGUAAAGCCCUUUUGUUGGGAAAGAAAAGCAGCAGGUUAAUACCCCGCUGUUCUGACGGUACCCAAAGAAUAAGCACCGGCUAACUUCGUG
Molecule: ribosomal RNA, 492 nt
Filed under: uncultured bacterium
Lineage: Bacteria
Description: partial 16S ribosomal RNA
Rfam family: Bacterial small subunit ribosomal RNA
Source: RNAcentral